RNAcentral lists this ribosomal RNA (2908 nucleotides) under Escherichia coli. Its description in RNAcentral is "23S ribosomal RNA". It matches the Rfam family "Bacterial large subunit ribosomal RNA". The record is from RNAcentral. Lineage: Bacteria; Pseudomonadati; Pseudomonadota; Gammaproteobacteria; Enterobacterales; Enterobacteriaceae.
GGUUAAGCGACUAAGCGUACACGGUGGAUGCCCUGGCAGUCAGAGGCGAUGAAGGACGUGCUAAUCUGCGAUAAGCGUCGGUAAGGUGAUAUGAACCGUUAUAACCGGCGAUUUCCGAAUGGGGAAACCCAGUGUGAUUCGUCACACUAUCAUUAACUGAAUCCAUAGGUUAAUGAGGCGAACCGGGGGAACUGAAACAUCUAAGUACCCCGAGGAAAAGAAAUCAACCGAGAUUCCCCCAGUAGCGGCGAGCGAACGGGGAGCAGCCCAGAGCCUGAAUCAGUGUGUGUGUUAGUGGAAGCGUCUGGAAAGGCGCGCGAUACAGGGUGACAGCCCCGUACACAAAAAUGCACAUACUGUGAGCUCGAUGAGUAGGGCGGGACACGUGGUAUCCUGUCUGAAUAUGGGGGGACCAUCCUCCAAGGCUAAAUACUCCUGACUGACCGAUAGUGAACCAGUACCGUGAGGGAAAGGCGAAAGAACCCCGGCGAGGGGAGUGAAAAAGAACCUGAAACCGUGUACGUACAAGCAGUGGGAGCACAGAGCAAUCUGUGUGACUGCGUACCUUUUGUAUAAUGGGUCAGCGACUUAUAUUCUGUAGCAAGGUUAACCGAAUAGGGGAGCCGAAGGGAAACCGAGUCUUAACUGGGCGUUAAGUUGCAGGGUAUAGACCCGAAACCCGGUGAUCUAGCCAUGGGCAGGUUGAAGGUUGGGUAACACUAACUGGAGGACCGAACCGACUAAUGUUGAAAAAUUAGCGGAUGACUUGUGGCUGGGGGUGAAAGGCCAAUCAAACCGGGAGAUAGCUGGUUCUCCCCGAAAGCUAUUUAGGUAGCGCCUCGUGAAUUCAUCUCCGGGGGUAGAGCACUGUUUCGGCAAGGGGGUCAUCCCGACUUACCAACCCGAUGCAAACUGCGAAUACCGGAGAAUGUUAUCACGGGAGACACACGGCGGGUGCUAACGUCCGUCGUGAAGAGGGAAACAACCCAGACCGCCAGCUAAGGUCCCAAAGUCAUGGUUAAGUGGGAAACGAUGUGGGAAGGCCCAGACAGCCAGGAUGUUGGCUUAGAAGCAGCCAUCAUUUAAAGAAAGCGUAAUAGCUCACUGGUCGAGUCGGCCUGCGCGGAAGAUGUAACGGGGCUAAACCAUGCACCGAAGCUGCGGCAGCGACGCUUAUGCGUUGUUGGGUAGGGGAGCGUUCUGUAAGCCUGUGAAGGUGUACUGUGAGGUAUGCUGGAGGUAUCAGAAGUGCGAAUGCUGACAUAAGUAACGAUAAAGCGGGUGAAAAGCCCGCUCGCCGGAAGACCAAGGGUUCCUGUCCAACGUUAAUCGGGGCAGGGUGAGUCGACCCCUAAGGCGAGGCCGAAAGGCGUAGUCGAUGGGAAACAGGUUAAUAUUCCUGUACUUGGUGUUACUGCGAAGGGGGGACGGAGAAGGCUAUGUUGGCCGGGCGACGGUUGUCCCGGUUUAAGCGUGUAGGCUGGUUUUUCCGAGCAAAUCCGGAAAAUCAAGGCUGAGGCGUGAUGACGAGGCACUACGGUGCUGAAGCAACAAAUGCCCUGCUUCCAGGAAAAGCCUCUAAGCAUCAGGUAACAUCAAAUCGUACCCCAAACCGACACAGGUGGUCAGGUAGAGAAUACCAAGGCGCUUGAGAGAACUCGGGUGAAGGAACUAGGCAAAAUGGUGCCGUAACUUCGGGAGAAGGCACGCUGAUAUGUAGGUGAAGCGACUUGCUCGUGGAGCUGAAAUCAGUCGAAGAUACCAGCUGGCUGCAACUGUUUAUUAAAAACACAGCACUGUGCAAACACGAAAGUGGACGUAUACGGUGUGACGCCCUGCCCGGUGCCGGAAGGUUAAUUGAUGGGGUCAGCGCAAGCGAAGCUCUUGAUCGAAGCCCCGGUAAACGGCGGCCGUAACUAUAACGGUCCUAAGGUAGCGAAAUUCCUUGUCGGGUAAGUUCCGACCUGCACGAAUGGCGUAAUGAUGGCCAGGCUGUCUCCACCCGAGACUCAGUGAAAUUGAACUCGCUGUGAAGAUGCAGUGUACCCGCGGCAAGACGGAAAGACCCCGUGAACCUUUACUAUAGCUUGACACUGAACAUUGAGCCUUGAUGUGUAGGAUAGGUGGGAGGCUUUUGAAGUGUGGACGCCAGUCUGCAUGGAGCCGACCUUGAAAUACCACCCUUUAAUGUUUGAUGUUCUAACGUUGACCCGUAAUCCGGGUUGCGGACAGUGUCUGGUGGGUAGUUUGACUGGGGCGGUCUCCUCCUAAAGAGUAACGGAGGAGCACGAAGGUUGGCUAAUCCUGGUCGGACAUCAGGAGGUUAGUGCAAUGGCAUAAGCCAGCUUGACUGCGAGCGUGACGGCGCGAGCAGGUGCGAAAGCAGGUCAUAGUGAUCCGGUGGUUCUGAAUGGAAGGGCCAUCGCUCAACGGAUAAAAGGUACUCCGGGGAUAACAGGCUGAUACCGCCCAAGAGUUCAUAUCGACGGCGGUGUUUGGCACCUCGAUGUCGGCUCAUCACAUCCUGGGGCUGAAGUAGGUCCCAAGGGUAUGGCUGUUCGCCAUUUAAAGUGGUACGCGAGCUGGGUUUAGAACGUCGUGAGACAGUUCGGUCCCUAUCUGCCGUGGGCGCUGGAGAACUGAGGGGGGCUGCUCCUAGUACGAGAGGACCGGAGUGGACGCAUCACUGGUGUUCGGGUUGUCAUGCCAAUGGCACUGCCCGGUAGCUAAAUGCGGAAGAGAUAAGUGCUGAAAGCAUCUAAGCACGAAACUUGCCCCGAGAUGAGUUCUCCCUGACUCCUUGAGAGUCCUGAAGGAACGUUGAAGACGACGACGUUGAUAGGCCGGGUGUGUAAGCGCAGCGAUGCGUUGAGCUAACCGGUACUAAUGAACCGUGAGGCUUAACCUU